Molecule: ribosomal RNA, 391 nt
Filed under: uncultured soil bacterium
Lineage: Bacteria
Description: bacterial SSU rRNA
Rfam family: Bacterial small subunit ribosomal RNA
Source: RNAcentral
AGAACGAACGCUGGCGGCAUGCCUAAUACAUGCAAGUCGAACGAACACUCUGACUUCGGUUGGGGUGUUAGUGGCGCACGGGUGCGUAACGCGUGGGAAUCUGCCCUUGGGUUCGGAAUAACAGUUGGAAACGACUGCUAAUACCGGAUGAUAUCGAAAGAUCAAAGAUUUAUCGCCCAGGGAUGAGCCCGCGUAGGAUUAGCUAGUUGGUGGGUAAAGGCUCACCAAGGCGACGACCCUUAGCUGGUCUGAGAGGAUGAUCAGCCACACUGGGACUGAGACACGGCCCAGACUCCUACGGGAGCAGCAGUAGGGAAUAGUUGGACAAUGGCGACAAGCCGUGAUCCAGCAAUCGCCGCGUGAGUGAUGGAAGGUCCUUAGGGUUAGUAAA